UUACCAAACUAAGCAGAUGGUUUCCAGUCUAAGUAGAAUUGUAUAAGUACUUGGAUUUCAUUGGGUAAUGCUAAAGGCAAUGUCCCUAACGUUCUCAUCGGUCCAAUCACAAAUACAUACUUGACUGUCCUAAUGUCCUCAUAGGCCCAAUCACAAACGCAAAUGCAAAUCAAGAUCACCAUUCGAGGUGAGACUCAUCACAUAUUUUUGGCUAGUAAAAUAUCUCUAAAACUCAAUAUAACAACGACUCAAUCUACUAGUAGUAAAAACUCGUAGAUCCAAAUCAUCAGCUCAAAAUAUUUAAACCCAAUUAUUAUUAUUAGGAUUUAUGAUCCAUAUGGUUGUGGGGUUUUCUUACAUUUUAACCAAAAAACAAAUUAAAUU
This 384-nucleotide long non-coding RNA is filed under the name Ananas comosus (pineapple). RNAcentral describes it as "long non-coding RNA (ACOM_LNC038616)". The record is from RNAcentral. Lineage: Eukaryota; Viridiplantae; Streptophyta; Magnoliopsida; Poales; Bromeliaceae.